RNAcentral lists this unclassified non-coding RNA (195 nucleotides) under Pseudolactococcus chungangensis CAU 28 = DSM 22330. RNAcentral's name for it is "Lactococcus chungangensis CAU 28 = DSM 22330 6S / SsrS RNA". Lineage: Bacteria; Bacillati; Bacillota; Bacilli; Lactobacillales; Streptococcaceae. The record is from RNAcentral.
AAAGCACUGGAAUGUGCGAACUUACUCACAUUUUUGACCGACUAAAUCGUAUUACCUCGGGAGUCUUUGAGACAUCUUACAGCGUGCAAGCCAUUUUAGAUGGAAGCUGCUUCAGUAAGAGCGAGACGCCCACCUGUUUAACAUUAACAGCGGGUUCAAUACUUGAGUAAGCAACGGCAUUCAAUCAGUGUUUUU